CUUAGAACCGCUGCCACCACAAGAGUAAGAGGAAAACAACAGACGCACAAACGAACCUUCCGACUAACGCCUAAAGUCAGGGGUUGCUCGUCGUUGUCGUCGCUGUCGCUGUCGGCUAAGCGGCCGGCUUAAGCACGCUGGAGGCCGCCUUAGACUGCGCCGCCGCGCAUCCAGACGCGCUAAACCCUAACUUGGACCAGUCCUUAGCCGCCAGCCUCGCUUACUGCCAUGGCCUCCGCCAUCGUGAUCUGUAUGGCCGCCUCCUCCCAAGCGGCCACCGGUCCCACGGCGCCGCCUAGUCCUCCUCCGAGGAGGUCCGCGCGCUCAGUUCGCGGCUGCGUGGCCGUUGGCGGCCUCUCUAGCUCCGGUUUGAGGCGCUGCGGGUUGAGGCCUCCGUCGUUAAGGUACUUUGUAAUAGUACGUUUCGUUCUGUACGUCAGUCCUCGUGAAGUGUCGGUAGAGUCCUCCUCCUAGGGUUCGUUGCGGAACUUCGUUUCGAACACCGACGAUUCGUCUUCUCCAACUCGGAGGACCUCUUUCUCGUCUUAGCAAAUCGAUUUGACCUACUCGACGCAGUCCGACGAUUCUUCCUACGUCUUUACUCCAAGUUGUCCCUUUCCCUCCUCGAACCGUACUCUCAACUCGUAGCCCAUGUCGUUCGUCUCCUCUUGGCAUAAGUUGAGAACGUACGAGCAAACGUCUCCGCUCGACGCGACCUCCUCUCCUGUUUUUUCAAGAAACCCGUUUCUCACUGUAGUCUCUUAUUCAUGUCCCUCUGUUGUCACCACAACCGACGCCGGAAACUGCACGACCCUUAUUUAGUCCUUAGACGAUUAAGAGACGGUAAACUUUUUGAUCGGGAGACAUAACUUAGAUGUUUUCAAGAAGUCUGGCGGUCCCGUAACGAACUAACGAACCUCUCAACAAAAUAAGAAAGACUCUGUAGUUCAAGUACGUGUGGUCUUUUAUAGCUAGUAGACGAGUUCGUGGACCCUAGUGGUUUAUGCUCUUAGGAUGGUUCAUCACGUCGUUCUCGAUCUCAUUGUGGUUUUUCCUGUUGAUUUUUAAGACUGCGACCGUUCAAUGGAUCUAUAAGUGGUUCCCAUCACGAAACACGAAUGUACUAAGAUCCAGUAGGUCCCCGACAAAAAUUACAUGUUCCGCUCGCUCUCUUUGAUGAACACCUCAGUCGUUGUUUGAAACACUUCCUUAAACUUGACGACUACUUCUGUUAUGAACUACCCAAUCUACCACGUACGUAUAACGUCGUCAGAUGUAAUCCACGUCAGAGAGGACCUAGAAGAUUAUUGGUCCUCACAAGAAGUUAACGACGACUAGCUUGUUUUAAGUCUAGAGUCGACCGAAGAAAACUAUUUCGAACCACACGAAUAGAAAUGGUGAAACACCACACCUUUCGUUUUCUACGGUUCAGCGAUCUCCUUCUAGAGCACUGUCGACGUACGUUCGAACUCGAGAGUUACUACGUUUGUACGUUUAAUUGAUGACUUCCGUACAGUCUAUCGGAAUUAAUAUGAUUAUAAUUAAGUUGUCGGUAGGUCUUUGUCCAAUACCAUCUGGUCUUUGAAAAUUCCCUCUUCCAAACCGUGGAUCCACCACUUCGACCAUAACUCUCCUACCUUGAACGAAAUAGUCUUUGUUCCAGUUUCAAGUAACCUCGGUUCCUUUUAUCCUCGGGGAACCGUUGUAGUCUACGUUUACAGCGUAGAGAAAGACCUGUCAGAGAAGAAAGACUGUGGUUUCUAUUAAACCCAUUCCUACCACUUUCCGAUCCAUCUCAACAAGUUAGAAACAGGUUCCGAAGAAGAAGUUGCAGAGUUUCAUUGUGAUCUCUGUUACCACCAGUUUACUCGUCGUGUCCCAGUCCUCUCGACGGUUAUCUCUUACUCGAACAGCCUAUAAACAACUUUCGAAGGGGAAGUGGUAGACCUUCAUUGAGUCCUCUGUUCCAGUAGUCGUCGGUUUACUCGUCUUGCCACGGUCUUUUCGACGGUUGUCUAUUACUUGUUUACCAGUUACUCUAAAACGUACCAAGAAAAAGACUAUCGAGACUACUGCAACCAUUUCAACUCCCCCUAAAGUUCCGUGUUCAAUCCCUUUGUUACCUCUUUCGAAAGACCCUACACCAACACCUAAGUUACUUUCCUCUGUGUGGUCUAAUGUCAAUAGACCAGUUGGAUCAUUUGCUUCAGUCCCUACGUAACGUGGUCUACCGGUCAUUUCCCACCUUUCUUCUUUAUUGUUUGUUAUAAUUGGAACUUUAUAACAGGGUCCAUGAACUCAGCUCGUGGGUCCCGUGUGUUAUAAACCCCGUCUAAGACGUCAUGAGAGACCCGUACGACGCAUUUAAUAGAAGAGGGCGUUUCCUUCUUCUUUACUUCUAGUCAGUACUGUUUAAUAACUUGCUUAACUAGCCUGUGAGACUAAGAGUACUAUCUCUAGGUUUACGUAAACAUUAUCGACAGUAGUUCCCGAACGCCAAGUGAUACCUUCUCAAUUUCCGAGAAGUCAGACUUCAGUCAUCUCGUGCUUAGGUUGAUAACUUUGGUUAAUAUUUCCCGAGUCCACCCCAGCUCAUGGACGUCUUUCGAAAACGGCUAGCGAUACCUAGGGCAAGGUUACGUAAUCACAGAGAGUGAAGUUGAUAAGUCACCUAAAGAUGGAGUUUCCUAUACCAUCUUCUUCUUACCUUACUUAUACAGUCGAGGAAUGUCUAGGACGGACGUAGUCUGUUACAAGUCGGUAACCAAUGCUGGGAGGCUCGACCAGCACCUUGAGGUCUAGUCGUUGUUAGAUGUCACGGACAUCGUCCUUCAUGUCUCUAGGAUGGUCUCACGAGCCCUCUUUGCUAGCUGUCCGAUCAUUCCUAACCCGACAAUGUCGAAUAGUCGUCCUACCUCCCGUACCUUUCUUUUAGUCAUGGGCUUUGUAAAUUCGAGUUGACCAACUCCAACGCACCACAGGUCUCAGUCAAGGUUGUUCACUAACAAUAGCGUUGUUCGUACGAACAGGUCGCAGUUCAUAACUACUCACUCCUGAGUUUCCGGUGAGGGAGUCUUGACCUUUUAAGAUGGAACCUUGACAAGUUGUGCGAACGUCUCGAUGAUCUGUCAAAAAGACUACAACCGUACCUAGUCUAGUAGCUCCACUACCAGGCAAGCAGCUGGAGCCGGCCGGGAACAAGCCUACUUUACCAACUCUUGUCCUUCGUCUAUAACUCGUCCCAGAAGGAGUUUUCGGAGGUCUGACUACUGUGACAGAAGUCCUUCCACAGAGCUAGACAAGUGACGCGCAAGGCACGUCAGUGGGAUCCACCGUUGCCCUGCUUCCCGUCCUUUGAGCGGCUCCGCCGGGACCCCGCGUAGCCCCGCUGUUUCGAGUGGCUGGCGCAUCACUUCCGUCGACUCCACGACUAGUUUCAUCGUUGUUAUAGUCUCGUCCAAGUACCGGGCACCCACCCACUAGUAUCGGCGACCCAGCUUGUAGCGCUACGUAGGGGCCACCUUUUAAGACGUUAUCAAAAGAAGAUCCUAGUGACCUUGUCAGGAAGACAAAACAGGCACUGGUGUGCGACCGAAAAGACGUGUCAAUAGAUGAUAAGAAUUUUUCAACACGAAGUACACAUGACCAAAGUCGUGUUAAAAAUGUUAGACCCACAUAUAUUUACAUCACGAUAUAUUCAACUCACCUUGGUGUAUGUGCUGUGCUCAUUCUAGCUUCGAUACACAAGUCAGUUCCACGUUUGUUCGUUAAGUAUAACGCCAUCAUAGAGUCGUAUAUGAAACAA
Molecule: ribosomal RNA, 3805 nt
Filed under: Triticum aestivum (bread wheat)
Lineage: Eukaryota; Viridiplantae; Streptophyta; Magnoliopsida; Poales; Poaceae
Description: partial small subunit ribosomal RNA
Source: RNAcentral